RNAcentral lists this ribosomal RNA (292 nucleotides) under uncultured bacterium. Its description in RNAcentral is "partial 16S ribosomal RNA". It matches the Rfam family "Bacterial small subunit ribosomal RNA", at positions 505 to 796 of the family's 1533-position model. The record is from RNAcentral.
GUGCCAGCCGCCGCGGUAAUACGUAGGGUGCGAGCGUUAAUCGGAAUUACUGGGCGUAAAGCGUGCGUAGGCGGUCCUCCAAGUCCGCUGUGAAAGCCCCGGGCUCAACCUGGGAAUUGCAGUGGAAACUAUGGGACUUGAAUCUGGCAGAGGGGGGUGGAAUGCCACGUGUAGCAGUGAAAUGCGUAGAGAUGUGGCGGAACACCGAUGGCGAAGGCAGCCCCCUGGGCUGAGAUUGACGCUCAGGCACGAAAGCGUGGGGAGCAAACAGGAUUAGAAACCCCUGUAGUCC